Molecule: ribosomal RNA, 465 nt
Filed under: uncultured bacterium
Lineage: Bacteria
Description: partial 16S ribosomal RNA
Rfam family: Bacterial small subunit ribosomal RNA
Source: RNAcentral
AUGAACGCUGGCGGCGUGCUUAACACCUGCAAGUCGAACGCUGAAGCCCAGCUUGCUGGGUGGAUUAGUGGCGAACGGGUGAGUAACACGUGAGUAACCUGCCCUUGACUCUGGGAUAAGCCUGGGAAACUGGGUCUAAUACUGGAUAUGACUUCUCAUCGCAUGGUGGGGGGUGGAAAGAUUUAUUGGUCUUGGAUGGACUCGCGGCCUAUCAGCUUGUUGGUGAGGUAAUGGCUCACCAAGGCGACGACGGGUAGCCGGCCUGAGAGGGUGACCGGCCACACUGGGACUGAGACACGGCCCAGACUCCUACGGGAGGCAGCAGUGGGGAAUAUUGCACAAUGGGCGCAAGCCUGAUGCAGCGACGCCGCGUGAGGGAUGACGGCCUUCGGGUUGUAAACCUCUUUCAGUAGGGAAGAAGCGAGAGUGACGGUACCUGCAGAAGAAGCGCCGGCUAACUACGUG